GUGGGGAAUAUUGCACAAUGGGCGCAAGCCUGAUGCAGCAACGCCGCGUGAGGGACGACGGCCUUCGGGUUGUAAACCUCUUUUAGCAGGGAAGAAGCGAAAGUGACGGUACCUGCAGAAAAAGCACCGGCUAACUACGUGCCAGCAGCCGCGGUAAUACGUAGGGUGCAAGCGUUGUCCGGAAUUAUUGGGCGUAAAGAGCUCGUAGGCGGUUUGUCGCGUCUGCUGUGAAAACCCGAGGCUCAACCUCGGGCCUGCAGUGGGUACGGGCAGACUAGAGUGCGGUAGGGGAGAUUGGAAUUCCUGGUGUAGCGGUGGAAUGCGCAGAUAUCAGGAGGAACACCGAUGGCGAAGGCAGAUCUCUGGGCCGUAACUGACGCUGAGGAGCGAAAGCGUGGGGAGCGAACAGGAUUAGAUACCCCAGUAGUCC
Molecule: ribosomal RNA, 430 nt
Filed under: uncultured bacterium
Lineage: Bacteria
Description: bacterial SSU rRNA
Rfam family: Bacterial small subunit ribosomal RNA
Source: RNAcentral